Molecule: long non-coding RNA, 711 nt
Filed under: Vulpes vulpes (red fox)
Lineage: Eukaryota; Metazoa; Chordata; Mammalia; Carnivora; Canidae
Description: lncRNA (ENSVVUG00000010507.1)
Source: RNAcentral
CCCCCCCACCAACCCCACCGCUGGGCUCCCUGAGCCUUGGGUCCGUCCACUGUGCAGCACGAUGGUUGUGCGGAUUCCAGGAUGAUUCAUCUCAUGAGAAUUUGAAUGCUGGUGGAAAAUUGUACAGAAAAUCCAGAAACCAACUGGAGAGAACCUAAGUGUAAAUGUACUGGAAGGAUACUCAGGACAUCAUGGAAUCCAGGGAAGAGUGGAACCACCAAGCCUUACCCUGGGAGAGUUGGCCCAGGAAGCCCACCGGUUCCUCCAGAGCAUGGCACCAGCGGCCCUGUCAAAUCCAAAGUUUCCGGCAUUGAUUCACAUGCACAGAGUAUGUAUUCAAGCUUGCACAGUUUAAUAAAUUCUGAGAAUUAUACUACAUGUGGGCUCAUUCCUUUGAAACAGGUCUUUUUGGCUACCAUAUUAAAGCCCUAAGGAGACCUGCUUCAGGCAGUGCUAACUUGAGUUGAGUGGCUGUAGCUGACAAUAUACCCAGAUUCCAAUGCCCAGUGUAAACCAAGUGGCAGCAGCCUUGGCAGUGCAGCUUGAAGACAGCCUGUUCUAGCUUGGGCAGGCUACUUUCAGAGUGUCCUUGCCAAAGGCUCUGGUGCCAACCACCAUCAAGGCCCAAGGAACUCUGCAGUGACUACUGAUCUACUGAGUGCCAGGCAGCCAGGCUAAGCGAUAUGUUGAAUACAAAGAUGAGUUCCUGAC